RNAcentral lists this ribosomal RNA (570 nucleotides) under Pteroptyx tener. RNAcentral describes it as "partial large subunit ribosomal RNA". It matches the Rfam family "Bacterial large subunit ribosomal RNA", at positions 1816 to 2662 of the family's 2925-position model. Lineage: Eukaryota; Metazoa; Arthropoda; Insecta; Coleoptera; Lampyridae. The record is from RNAcentral.
CAUGUCUUUUUGAUUAUAAUUUAAGGUUUAAUCUGCUCAAUGAUUAUUUAAAUUGCCGCAGUAUUUUGACUGUGCAAAGGUAGCAUAAUAAUUAGUUUCUUUAUUGGGAACUGGAAUGAAUGAUUGGACGAGAAAAUUUCUGUCUCUUUAUUAUUUUAAUUGAAUUUUACUUUUAAGUUAAAAGGCUUAAAUUUUAUUAGAGGACGAGAAGACCCUAUAGAGUUUAAUUUUUAUUUAAAUAAUUAUUUUUAGUAUUUAUAUAUAUUAUUUAAAUAAAAAUUUAGUUGGGGUGACUAAAAGAUAAGAAUAACUCUUUUAAUUUUUAUCAAUUAUUUUUGAUUAUAAAAUCUUUAUUUUUAAUUUUAAAAUAAAUUACCUUAGGGAUAACAGCGUAAUUCUUUUUUAAAGUUCUUAUUAAAAGAAGAGUUUGCGACCUCGAUGUUGGAUUAAAAUUAAUUUUAGGUGUAGAAGCUUGAAAAUUAAGUCUGUUCGACUUUUAAAAUUUUACAUGAUCUGAGUUUAAACCGGUGUGAGCCAGGUUGGUUUCUAUCCUUAAUUAUAUAUUAUACU